AAUCCCCAACCCCCUUUGUAAGUUUUAAAGUUGUGAUUUAUACUCUCCUUUUCAUGUGUGUGUAAUAUUCCCAGCGCCUUUCGCUUCCCUUCUCCAGUGCAGGUUACAGUUUAGAUCGUGGUUGGGGCGUAGCCUUAUUUUAGCCCCUUGUUCUCUUUUUAUGAAUUAGCUUUUUAUACAACGCGACCUUGAUCUUUCUUCUGCUGUUCUUUCUACGUAAACCUUGUUUUCUUGAACUCUUUUCAGAAGACGUGCUUUAGUUGAAAGGCAUAGCUCAGCAGUCAGAAAAGCUGGCCUCACUGGGUUCCUGCAUCCGAGGUUUCCUGGCUCAGUUCUGCAGCCUGGAUUCUCUUCCUUCACCUCUGCUGACACAGUCCAGCUUGACUUUACUUCCGCUUCCCUAGUGAGGAGCACUGGCCCUUCAGUCUCAAGAGUUCUCAGGGAAUAGACUGCUUUACCGCUCCAUCCUCACGGUGGGCUUCAUAUUCUCACCAGACUGGGAGCUGCUAUCAUGUUGGUUGCUGUGUUCCCCAGUGACUGUCUGGGCUACUUGGGGCCUUUCCUGUGUCUAGCGCCAGUAGACUCAUCCUGCUCCACUCUGCUUCUUCCUGCACAGGACCGACAGCAUGCAAGUCCCUGAUCCCCCCUUCUGCUAAUAUUUUAAAGUUUAUGCUAGUGUUCAUGACUAUAUAUGACUUGUUUUAUUAUGCAUUCAUGGGUAUCUCUGUGUGUGUACAUACGCGUGGGUGCUCAUGGAGGUCAGAAUGCAUCAGAUCCCCUAGAGCUGGAGUUCCAGGUGACGGUUAUCCCCCAACCCCAUAUGAGUACUGGGAACUGACACUGGUCCUCUACAAGAGAUGCAAGCUCUCUUGACUGCUAAGCGCUCUCUCUAGUCCUAUGAGCUGUAUCCUUAUCACAAACAUUGCCAAGUAUGUUAGCUUUCUUAUCGGAUUACUCUUUUUGUGAAGGGUGCUAAUAGAAUGUCAAACUCUGCUUCUUUCUCGGCUGUCUUUCCAGAACCUUCUUUGGCUUUAAAAAGUUGAUGGAUGUCUCUAAAUCUCUUGGAGGACACUAUGUGUCUUAGUCACUGUGCCACUGGUGUGAAGACACAUUAUGACCAAGGUGACUUAUUGAAGAAAACAUUUAACCGGGGGCUGGCUUACAGUGCAGAGGGUUAGUCCAUCAUCAUCAUGGCAAAGAACACGGCAGCAAGCCAGCAGCCAUAGUAGCGGAGGAGGAGCUGAGAGCUUACAUCAUUCACAAGGAGAGAGGUGGGAAGUCAGGGGGAGAGAGGGGGAGGACUGGCAUGGGCUUCGAAACCUCAUAGCCCACCCUCAGAGAUACACCUCUUCUAACUAGGCCACACCUCCUCAUCCUUCCUAAACACUUCACCAACUGGGAACUAAAUAUUCAAAUACAUGAGCCUUACUGGGGCCUUCUCAGUUUAAACAAUAUGCGAUGUGUAUGCAUUUUAUUUAAAUUAAUAAAGUCUUCCUGUUUCUAAACAGCAAAGGGAAAUCUCUGAGCAUCCCUGGAGGAAUUUGUAUAAGGUAUGAAUUGUCCUAAACCAAAGUCUGGGAGCAGACAUCCACGAGCUUGGGACUGAGGGCAGUGGGCUCCCUGCAGGCGGCCCUGAGACAGUGCGGCUGAACAGGGGAGUAGGCUGACUCUUGGAGGCACAGCAGGAGACAGAUGCAUAUGAGUCCUUCCACAAGCCAUCCUUGAAACAGAAACUGCACACUGCUGUAGGCCAAGUUUGAAUCCAAAUGUGUUGGAGGAGUUUAUUCGCACAUUUCUCAAACCACAGGUCACAUGUCUGUGUUUCUUCAAAUUCCUUAAGAAAUCAAAUCAUGUGGGAAGGACAGUUGUUUUUAUUUAUUCCUCCAUUUCAAUGGGUUUCUCGUUAGCAGUAAGGGGCCUUUGACAUGUUGGACUUCCCGCUUACUCAUGUGUAGGUCAUAUGUCCUAAGGCCUCUGAAAUUAGCCAUUAAUACAGAAGCUUGUCACCCAGCACAGACAUUUAAGGUAGAAAAACAGAACAGUAUAUUUGACUUAUUCUUCCAAAGUGGGUUGCGAAUCUUGUCUAGUCAGUGACCAGUUACAUAUUUUAGAAUACUAGAAUCAACAGACCUCGGAUGCUUGUGUCAAUGUCUGUUCUUCUGAACUUCCUCUUAGUGUAGUGUGAGGCCCGAUCCUUAGCUGAGAAUCUCCGUACAACACUACUUACAUUGUACCUAUCGCUAGGAGUCUGAAGACAAAGCUCAGGGGGAAUUUGUCUUUAUGAGUUUUGGACCAAUGAUGAUGCUGCAGACUACACUAAAGUUGUGUACAACUGGUCACUUUCUCCUGAGCUCCAAGACCCUGCUGCACACCUGCUGCUGCACACCUGCUGCUGCACACCUGCUUCUGCACACCUGCUGCUGCACACCUGCUGCUGCACACCUGCUGCUGCACACCUGCUGCUGCACACCUGCUGCUGCACACCUGCUUCUGCACACCUGCUGCUGCACACCUGCUGCUGCACACCUGCUGCUGCACACCUGCUGCUGCACACCUGCUGCUGCACACCUGCUACUGCACACCUGCUUCUGCACACCUGCUGCUGCACACCUGCUGCUGCACACCUGCUGCUGCCAAUUUUCUUUUCUGUUUAAAUUUUUUCUUUCUUUUUUUGUGGUGGGGCGGGGAUGCCUUUUUGAGACAGAGUUUUACCAUGUAGAUGUCCUGGAACUCACACUGUAGACCAGGUUGGCCUCAGACCCAUAGAGAUCUGCCUGUCUCUACUUCCUGAGUGUUGGCAUUAAAGGCAUGAGCCACCACUGCCCAGCCUUAAGUUUUUUCUUAAUGAAAAUUCUGUAUUUACAGAGAUCCAUUAAAGAACAUAAAAGUAGUUAUUUCUAGAAUUCAAAAACGUAAUUAAGUCUAUUCCAGUGUAAGUUUAAAUGACUUUUACAGAACACCAGUCCACAGACCAUCUAGAUCACUACUAGUCCCCAAAGACCUAGGAAUAUAUGCUCUGUCUUAUUCCCUCUAAGUCCACCGCAUGAUUUCCAUUCAUUCGUUAAAAACAUCCAUAACAUUAUCCAAGCUUCCCCCAUCAGUCAUCUACUAAAGUACAACCUGCUAGACAGAGGGACGUUUUUCAUGUAGUUAUCAGAGUAGAGACCACUAGGACUGUAUUAUGUGCUUCCAAUGCACAAGGUACCAUGGUAAGUCAUGUAGGGCCUGCUUUCAGAGUAAUUAAUUCCUGCUAAAUGCAAAUCUUACAACUGGUAUUUGUGAAGUACGAAAUGUCAAAAUUGUGUAUUUAAGUUCUUCCCAUGAAGACACUGUUAAUUGCUAAAAUUUAUAUCGCUUAAGAGACCUAUCCAUCCCUCCCUGGCAUCCCUCCUUGCAGUUACACUUUACCUGGGGAGGGGUUGGUGUUUCUCGAAUUUAAACGUAUGUGGAUGAUGUAGAGGGGUGGAGACACUUUAACAGGCUGUAGAAGAGUGAGGAUGGAGCGAAGCAGCUGAACUAGGUUAGAGGGACAUCGACGUCAGGGCUAUCAGGAGACUUUGUUGUUUACUCUUUACAUCAAGAAAGGAACGGUAUGUUUUGUUUUGCUCAUUUGUUUUUGUUGCAAGUGUAUCAUACACAGAAGGCCAGAUGCAGGAGGAGAAGGACGCAGUAGAUGAGGCUUUUCGAAGGACAGAGCCAGCUGGAUGUUUGUUCAGUAUUACGUUUUGGUUUUGAAAUAAGAAGCAUCCCGCGACACAGGAGUAUUUGGGUUAAGACUCAGAUCGAUGAGAGAAGGUAGAGAUUUAUGUCAGCAGUGAUGUGAAGACCAGGAUCACGACAGUCUACAGCAUGCACACUUACCUACUUUUCUAGCAACAAAACGUAGCGAGGAGUUCAUAAAAACCCAGAAAGGAUCCAGAAGAGCCUCAGAAAUUAUGUGGGGAUGGAAGAUGAGGUAUCAUAGAAGGGAGACUGAACAGUCACGUUCUGUGAAAAGGUGACACGUACGUAUUGUGCCGUCAGGAAUGGUUUUCACGUUGUCCAAUGUGAAAACCAAAGAGUCCUUGGACUUUGAAAGAAGUGAUUUUCGAACAUACAAAGACCUUCUACUUUAUCCUUAAGUUAUGCUCCGUGCUUUGGAGUUAUAAAUACAUCAUACCAACAAGUAUCAGAGGCAAACAGAAUCAGUGCUGUAGGCCAAAGUAUUCCCAGGGAGUGGUUAGGGAGAUUGGAGCUGGCCAGCCUGUCUUCACUUGGUAAAGCCAAUGUUUCCUCCUGCCUGGUGCUUCUUCCUUUGUCACAGUGGUCUGCUAAAGGAACAAUUUAAGAUUUCGCAUGGUUGCACCAACCACAGCAGCUGACGAGAAGGCUUGGGGCUUCGUUUGGUUUAUUGGAUCCUUUCUACACUUUGGAGAAACACCAUCUUGCAAAUGUUGACGCUAACCUCCUGAUACUUAAGUUUGGAUGAGGAAGGUAUUUAAGGAAUGCAAACAACUGUCAUCAAUAAAUAAACACACGAGAUGCACGGCACACAAGAUGCAAUGUGACGUUAAUAUGUGGGAUAUGAGACUGGGUUGAGACUUCCGGGUCCUACUGUGCUUUGUGCUACUGUCCAGGGAGUGGCUUUUUGUUUUGUUUUAUUUUUGUUUUGUUUUGUUUUAAUAGGCAAACAGACACAGAUAAACAAGACUGGACCAAGACAUCUGUCUUCUUAGGCUGAUAAGGCUGACAGCCAACUGAAGCGCAUUAAAGGAGGAAGCAACCUUGGGAGGCUUACUCUUGUCAUGGCGGCCAACAACACAGGAAGUUCAGCUGUUCGAGCCCACCCACCCAUUCCAACUACUCUUUUCAAUAGUGCAGUCCACCCCGAGUUAAGUUCUGCUAUGUAAAACAGCCUAUGUUCAGCCGUGCUGGGGUCUCCUGGGAGGCUAACGGAAGUGGCAACUGCAUUGUCGAUGUGGCUUGGAAGAAAGAACGUAGAGAUCAGUCUGGGAGUUGUAAAUUCAAGUUUCAACAUUGUGUAAUUUUGAAGAAGCCGUUUCUCCCC
This is a non-coding RNA of Rattus norvegicus (Norway rat), 5047 nucleotides long. The record is from RefSeq and is a predicted model, not a curated record. Lineage: Eukaryota; Metazoa; Chordata; Mammalia; Rodentia; Muridae.